UCUUCCUGCCGUGUGACUGGCGUUUCCUCCCUAAACUCGGGCCGCGUCCGCAAGGACUGCGGCCCGUUUUUUUUCUAGC
This 79-nucleotide small RNA is filed under the name Humitalea rosea. RNAcentral's name for it is "Acetobacteraceae bacterium W37 Makes More Granules Regulator RNA (mmgR)". It matches the Rfam family "Makes More Granules Regulator RNA (mmgR)". From Rfam's summary of the family: SuhB later renamed mmgR (makes more granules regulator) was a putative non-coding RNA found multiple times in the Agrobacterium tumefaciens genome and related alpha-proteobacteria. Other non-coding RNAs uncovered in the same analysis include: speF, ybhL, metA, and serC. Several studies inSinorhizobium meliloti showed that suhB element is indeed a non-coding RNA:firstly it was detected on Northern blot and called Sm8RNA, secondly in an RNAseq study referred to as SmelC689. Lineage: Bacteria; Pseudomonadati; Pseudomonadota; Alphaproteobacteria; Acetobacterales; Roseomonadaceae. The record is from Rfam by way of RNAcentral.